CCGCCUGCAAAGUGACUUGAGAGCCCCGCGACGCAGCCUUCUAGAGGAGCAGGGACUUCUCUGGAACACUGGCGUGCGCAGGGAUUAAUCCCACCGUAGAGAGCCAGCCUGGGCUUUGAAGUGUUACAAGGGGAGGGAGGAGUCACAUUGCAGGCCAAGCCAGAUGGGCAAGCAAUACAAGCUGUGAAUUUAUUCUUGACCCCGUAGGACAGUGACCACCAUCAUUUUUUUCUUCACCCUACAGUUAUGCACUGCCAAUAAGAGGUCGUGAGCCAAGGAGGGCUCUGCCUCUGAGCACAGGCAGUCAUAUGGCAGGGUCGCUGCCAAGGGAUGAAGCCACUGCCUUGUGA
RNAcentral lists this long non-coding RNA (350 nucleotides) under Serinus canaria (Common canary). RNAcentral describes it as "lncRNA (ENSSCAG00000000548.1)". The record is from RNAcentral. Lineage: Eukaryota; Metazoa; Chordata; Aves; Passeriformes; Fringillidae.